UAGGUGGCGAGCGUUGUCCGGAUUUACUGGGUGUAAAGGGCGCGUAGGCGGGGAUGCAAGUCAGAUGUGAAAUCCAUGGGCUCAACCCAUGAACUGCAUUUGAAACUGUGUCUCUUGAGUGUCGGAGAGGUAGAUGGAAUUCCUAGUGUAGCGGUGAAAUGCGUAGAUAUUAGGAGGAACACCAGUGGCGAAGGCGAUCUACUGGACGAUAACUGACGCUGAGGCGCGAAAGCGUGGGGAGCAAA
This 245-nucleotide ribosomal RNA is filed under the name uncultured bacterium. RNAcentral describes it as "partial 16S ribosomal RNA". It matches the Rfam family "Bacterial small subunit ribosomal RNA", at positions 528 to 772 of the family's 1533-position model. The record is from RNAcentral.